This 406-nucleotide ribosomal RNA is filed under the name uncultured bacterium. Its description in RNAcentral is "partial 16S ribosomal RNA". It matches the Rfam family "Bacterial small subunit ribosomal RNA", at positions 30 to 526 of the family's 1533-position model. The record is from RNAcentral.
AUUGAACGCUGGCGGCAGGCCUUACACAUGCAAGUCGAACGAGUGGCGGACGGGUGAGUAAUGUCUGGGAAAGUGCCUGAUGGAGGGGGAUAACUACUGGAAACGGUAGCUAAUACCGCAUACCAUUAGAUCUGCCCAUAUGGGAUUAGCUAGUGGGUGGGGUAAUGGCUCACCUAGGCGACGAUCCCUAGCUGGUCUGAGAGGAUGACCAGCCACACUGGAACUGAGACACGGUCCAGACUCCUACGGUAGGCAGCAGUGGGGAAUAUUGGACAAUGGGCGGAAGCCUUGUGCAGCCAAGCCGCGUGUGUGAAGAAGGCCUUCGGGUUGUAAAGCACUUUCAGCGAGGAGGCGUUACUCGCAGAAGAAGCACCGGCUAACUCCGGUCCAGCAGCCGCGGUAAUUC